CCUUCCUCCUUCAGCAUGGCCACCUCUAAUUUGUGUGACCAUCAGGAUAAAAAGUUUGAUAUACGCGAGGCAACCGACGCCGGGCAUGACGCACCAUCGGCCCAGACCAGCAGCGAGCGAGGAGGAAGCGUCACCUGCACCGUUCUCUAUACUAACUCUUGUUUUGUGGCGUCAGCGGACGAAACAUCAUUCAAAAUGGUGAAGGAGCAGGAACACUCCGAGCCGGAGCAGAUGCGAAAGCUGUUCAUCGGUGGCCUUGAUUACCGCACCACCGACGACAGCCUGAAGGCAUACUUUGAGCAGUAUGGCGAGAUUGUUGAUGUUGUUGUGAUGAAGGACCCCAAGACCAAGAGGUCCCGGGGCUUUGGCUUCGUUGCCUUCUCUCAGGCAUACAUGGUAGAUGAGGCACAGAAGAACAGGCCACACAAGAUUGACGGUCGCUCUGUUGACACAAAGCGUGCAGUUCCCCGUGACGAAAUUGGGAAGCCAGAAUCUGGUGUAACAGUAAAGAAGUUGUUUGUUGGUGGUAUCAAGGAUGAUGUAGAUGAAGAUGACUUGCGUGACACAUUCAGUCAGUUUGGUGAAGUAGUGUCUGUCAGCAUUCCUACAGAGAAAGAAUCUCAAAAGAAGAGAGGAUUUGCCUUUGUGGAGUUUGAGGAUUAUGAUGCCGUUGAUAAGGCUUGCUGUGAGUGCCUACACAAGAACAUCCAAUUAAAAGGAAAACGGGUAGAUGUGAAAAAGGCUCUGAGUAAGAAUGAGAUUCAGAUGCAGCAGCGCGGUCGCAUGGGUGGAAUGGGCGGCAUGGGACGUGGCGGAGGAAAUGGUCCAUGGGCCGGCAACAGGAAUAAUGAUUGGGGGAACAAUCAAGGUGGUGGUGGUUGGCAAGGUACUGUAUCAUCAGAUAACCGAAGCGGCUGGGGGAAUCAGGGCAACUACGGCACACCCAACCAGGGAGGGCCAGGUGGCUACAACCAGGGUGGAUAUGGUAACCAAGGGCCGUGGCAGGGUGGACCACCAAACAACCAGGGAUGGAACAACCAGAGUAACCAAGGCUGGAAUCCUCAGGCCAGCAACUAUGGUGGCACACCAAACAAUUGGGGCCAGGGCCCCAGUGACUUUGGUAACAACUAUGGUCAAAGCUAUGGAGGUGGACCUAUGAGGAAUCAAGGAUAUGGUCAGACAAACCGAUCAACCCCGUACAGUGCUGCUGGAGGCAACACGAGCUACGACGGGGAGCAGAGCAACAAGUGACAACGACAGCAGGAACGUGGAGUGGGGGAGCGCCAGUCACAAGGGGAAGCCCUGAGCGACUACAAUAAUGCAGGUAACAGUGGCGGUCCCAACAACUAUGGCGGCGGAAGUGGUGGUGGCGGAGGUGGUGGUGGCGCCGUUAGCAUGAACCAAGGGCCCAACAGACGAUAUUAAGACUGGUGGAUUUUUGGUCUGCUGUCGCCACAACAAGACACCAAAGAUGAUAGGCACAGUGCUAGUCACUGCUGCCAUACAACAACCUGUGAUAAUUUUUUAGCAAAAUAUUUUUCUACGUUAAUUAUAUUUAAAUUUAUUAA
RNAcentral lists this unclassified non-coding RNA (1568 nucleotides) under Homarus americanus (American lobster). Its description in RNAcentral is "heterogeneous nuclear ribonucleoprotein A1, A2/B1 homolog, transcript variant X6". Lineage: Eukaryota; Metazoa; Arthropoda; Malacostraca; Decapoda; Nephropidae. The record is from RNAcentral.